CUACGGGAGGCACCAGUGGGGAAUAUUGCACAAUGGGCGCAAGCCUGAUGCAGCCAUGCCGCGUGUAUGAAGAAGGCCUUCGGGUUGUAAAGUACUUUCAGCGGGGAGGAAGGGAGUAAAGUUAAUACCUUUGCUCAUUGACGUUACCCGCAGAAGAAGCACCGGCAUAACUCCGUGCCAGCAGCCGCGGUAAUACGGAGGGUGCAAGCGUUAAUCGGAAUUACUGGGCGUAAAGCGCACGCAGGCGGUUUGUUAAGUCAGAUGUGAAAUCCCCGGGCUCAACCUGGGAACUGCAUCUGAUACUGGCAAGCUUGAGUCUCGUAGAGGGGGGUAGAAUUCCAGGUGUAGCGGCGAAAUGCGUAGAGAUCUGGAGGAAUACCGGUGGCGAAGGCGGCCCCCUGGACGAAGACUGACGCUCAGGUGCGAAAGCGUGGGGAGCAAACAGGAUUAGAUACCCGUGUAGUC
Molecule: ribosomal RNA, 465 nt
Filed under: uncultured bacterium
Lineage: Bacteria
Description: partial 16S ribosomal RNA
Rfam family: Bacterial small subunit ribosomal RNA
Source: RNAcentral